GACGAACGCUGGCGGCGUGCUUAACACAUGCAAGUCGAACGGUGACCCAGGGCUUGCCCUGGUGAUCAGUGGCGAACGGGUGAGUAACACGUGGGCAACCUGCCCCUGACUUCGGGAUAACUCCUCGAAAGAGGAGCUAAUACCGGAUACGACCACUUCGGACAUCCGAUGGUGGUGGAAAGUUUUUCGGUCAGGGAUGGGCCCGCGGCCUAUCAGCUAGUUGGUGGGGUAAUGGCCUACCAAGGCGACGACGGGUAGCCGGCCUGAGAGGGCGACCGGCCACACUGGGACUGAGACACGGCCCAGACUCCUACGGGAGGCAGCAGUGGGGAAUAUUGCGCAAUGGGCGAAAGCCUGACGCAGCGACGCCGCGUGAGGGAUGAAGGCCUUCGGUUGUAAACCUCUUUCAGCAGGACGAAGCGAAAGUGACGGUACCUAGCAGAAGAAGACACCGGCUAACUACGUGCCAGC
This 471-nucleotide ribosomal RNA is filed under the name uncultured bacterium. RNAcentral describes it as "bacterial SSU rRNA". It matches the Rfam family "Bacterial small subunit ribosomal RNA", at positions 28 to 512 of the family's 1533-position model. The record is from RNAcentral.